This 3656-nucleotide long non-coding RNA is filed under the name Gossypium barbadense (sea-island cotton). RNAcentral describes it as "long non-coding RNA (GBAR_LNC015703)". The record is from RNAcentral. Lineage: Eukaryota; Viridiplantae; Streptophyta; Magnoliopsida; Malvales; Malvaceae.
CUUAAUCUACCAUCCCUACUAGCCGUCGCAUGCACCUUCCUUCCUGAAUUCCUCGCAACAUUCCCUCUUUCAACAAGAUUUUCGAAAUCUAUCCCCUCACCCUUGGCCUCCAAAAUAACAAAACGAGAACCUUCAAAUCGGCCAUGAUCGCCAACAUUCCUACCUUGCGAUGAGUCACUCAUCUUACCCCUCUGUCGACGUUCGACAACCAUCCAUGGGCCAAAUUCCUCCUCCUUGGCCCUAGAUUGGAGAUUUGACUUUUGAACUCUCGAACCACCUUCCACCGUCGUAUCCUCCGCCAUAGGCGCAUUUUUCUCGUAGCACAGCGUCGAGCUGUGGCCAUAGAGCCCACACGAGAAACAAAUAUUGGGUUAUCCUUCGUAUUCAACUCUUUGAAUCCUUCCAUUUAUUCUUAUUUUUGAAACUAAUGGCUUUUGCAGAUCCACACUAACAACCAGUCUCGUAAAUCUCUCUCUGACUGCUGCAUCUGUUCCAGCAUCAAUCUGAAACACUAGUCUGAUCAUACUUUCGAUGGUCCUUAGCAAAAAGUCAGAGUAAAACCCUUCAAACAGUCCUAGUAAUUGGAUCCAAACCAGUUGUUUGUCCACCUCACUGUUACUUGUUGAGAAAUCCGCAGACCAAGCUCUCACCGACAAGUAAUGACCGAAUACCACCCAUGGGCCACCCAACAGUACCUUGUCAAAGUCACCCUUAUCUUGGAAAUGGACAAGGUAAAAAUCGUUCUCCAGAUCCAAUAACUGAAAUUUACCUUUUAAAUUUCAUAGAGCAGAUACCUUAUUGAGCAAGGCUUUGAAACCUAUUUUCCUACCCAACAGCUUGAUCACAACUGUUAGAGCCAUUUUCUUUUCAAUGAAUCUAUGAACCUGAUCCGAAAACGUAAUGGAAGGGAUCCCGUUACCAUCUCUGUCGUCCCAUCCGUAUCUUGUAACUCAAAGUCCUCAUCCAUACAAACAUCCCCAUUUGGAAUCGAUAAAGCACCCAUUAACUUAGCCUUAUACGAGUCCUUUGCUACAUUGUCCUCUUGCACUGUCUGGCCAUUCCCAUCUAUUAUCGGAUCAGUCAUUAUCUCUGGCUGACGCCUGACCCUUUUCGUAGCCCUUCCAACACCACAGUCCGAGGCUAUAGAGUUAGAACCAAUAGCAAAGUUAACCAACGAGAGAGUUUCAGACAUGUUAAAAUCCUCUUCUCUAUUUCUAUUUUUUUAAUAAUUGGGUAAUGAAAAUGGAUAUUAAGGAUUGAAUCCAAAUAAGAGUCUUAUUUUCUUUUGGGCCAUAAAAGAAAUUCAUUCCAUAAAAAAGAUUUAUUAAGAGUGGAACAUGACUUGUAGCUUUGGUUGGUUUGAUUUAAAAAUAUUUGAUUUGUCAGAAUUAGUUGCGGAAAAUUAAGGUCCUUCUAGUACUUAAUCAACAUAUUUUAUAGUAUUUUUAUAUGUUUUGAUUUCAUUUUUAGUUUUUAUUGUUUUAUGUUUAAAUUAUGCAAAAUAAACGUUUUUAUACAAUUUUGAGUUAUGUAAUAAUCUAAUGGGCCACUAUGGGCUUAGGGAUGAUCUAACGACUCUAUCUAGUGUGUAGGACACUGUUUUUGGGCUUAGAAAACGAAGGACGACUGUAGCAUUGAAACACGUGACACCGAGGAGUGGUGUCCAAAGUACCCAGAAAUUAAAGGCAGUGUCACGACACCAGUCUUGUGGUGUCACAACAUCAAGUGAAGAGAUGAAAUUUUAAUUAAGGUAUUUUUUGUCCACACAAAGUAACUUAAACAGCUUUUUUGGGUUGUUUAAUAACCUUAAUUAGGUCUGAUCAUAAACUCUAUAAAUAGAUAUUUUAAGUCUCAUUUGAGGAGGCUUGACUAAUUGAGUCACUUAGUUAUUUUAGGGUUUUACUUUAGUUUUUAUUUUCUUCCAAUUUAAUCCUUUACAUACUUUUUGUUCUUGUUUAACUUGGAUUCAAUUGUGCUCCAAUAGUUUAAUAUAUUAGUUUUUUUGUUAUUUCUUCGUGGAUUCCAAUUGCAAUCGAAGGGAUCUUCGUGACUAUCAAAGGAGAUUCGCUUUCGAGCUCAAAUCGAUAUUGAAACGAACUUAUUUUUCUAUUCCUUACUUUUAUUUAAUUUACUGUUUUUUUAUGUUAAAUAUGAGUUUAAGGAUUAUUGCAUCUAGACCACGAAGAGCUAAUUUCCUUAGGGAGAUUAACGAACGAAUGUGUGACUAAUUAACGGAUGAAUUAAGGUUGAGAUUCGAGUUAGCUGGUUUAAAUUAUGUGCGACUAAACCCUAGGAAGUAACACCCCUAGGAAGUAAUUUAGGAUAAACGAGAUCGAGAGAUAAGUUUACUGAGUACCUCAUAAUUUAUCCAGGUUAAGAAAGUGAGAACAAGAGGUAAGCGAGUAUUGGUCGAUUAGUUAAUUAGUUAGAGACUGAAAGGUAAUAAUUGAUUAAUUAAUAGCUAACUCGAUAAAACCUAAGUUCUGAAGUUAAUUAGGAGCACUGAAGUGAGUUGAUAUCCUUCUUGUUUUAUUGGAUUAAAUUUGGUUGUUAAUUGGUUGAUUUUUAGUUUAAUUUAAUUAAUUGAUGUUAAUUUUAUUUUUUGUAAUAUAAUUUUAAAUUGAUAUUAUUUAACCUCAUUAAUGUAGAGAGUUAAUUUAGGUCUAAUUCAACCUCCCUUGAGUAUGAUCCUUGGAAUGUUUCUCGAAGUGUUUUUUUGUAAUACUAAUCUGUAUUACAAUUUGACCUGUAUAUUUGCGGACAUCACUGUUUAAUUAUUUAUCUAUUUUAUUGCAAUAUUUUUAGUUCAGGUGUUCGCAACAUUGACCAUUUGGGUAAUGAUGUUUGGUAGAUUAGAGAAGAAUAAAUCAUAAUUUGGGGAAACUUCCCUCAGAGUCAAGACACUCUCUUAUUGGUGUCGCGGCAUUGAUUUUUUGUCCUCGUAGUCGCGAUUCUCCCCUAUUAAGGUUGCAACAUUGAAUCCCCCUGCCUUCAAGGUCGCAACUCACCUCGAUUAAAGUCGCGAUGCAUGUUUCUGUCUUCAAUGUUAUGAUAUGUCUACAUCAUGGUCGUGAUAUCUCAUUUGUCUUUUGAAAAUUUUACGUUUUAUUCCUUCCAUUAAUAUCGAUGUUAACAAGGGAUUUCAUAUACUAGUUUAUAAUCUGAAUUUAAUUUAAUAAUACGGUUAUUAAGUUUUGGAACCUGAUAACUUGUUUAUUAGAUAUGCAAAUGCAAUUGUCGUUGUUUUGACAACAAAUUUAACAUUUCACAUCUCGGAUCUCGCGAUUAGUUCAGGUGUGGGAUGUUGUAUAUUACCAUAAUCUUAUUCACACAUAUGAUUUGCUUGGAUGGUAACCAAGUCCUGGUGGCAAUAGCUUGCAACGCAACAUAUGUCAGUUCCAACUCAAAAAAUUCUAAAAUCUUGCCCAUUAGGCCAAAUCUUCCUCAAUCCGUUAGUAAAAAGUUCUACCAAAUUGUCCUUGUCAAGGGUGGAGUCCGUCUUCUCUUGAAUGCUUCAAAUACUUGAUGAUAGUUGGACUAAAGAUGAAAUAAAGUCCACGAACAUAUGUUUGCAUAAAGUGUUUAUCAUUAGGAUCAGUGACUGUCUUCUAAAGAUUGGUCCAAAACCAUUUUUUGGACAUAAGGCUUGACACAAC